AAGUCGUAACAAGGUUUCCGUAGGUGAACCUGCGGAAGGAUCAUUACCAAAAGAAACGAACCAUAGUGGAUUUGUUGAGCACCGUCUUAGGUGUAUGGUGUUCUUCAAUUGAAUAACUAUUGAUUUUAUAUUACAACAAAACAAACACAACUUUUAACAAUGGAUCUCUAGGCUCUU
Molecule: unclassified non-coding RNA, 177 nt
Rfam family: Eukaryotic small subunit ribosomal RNA (bases 1-46)